CUACGUCGAUUUGCUGCGGGCUAAUAAAAUGAAUAUGAGCGUCAAUUCCGCCUGCUGUGACGAUGAGCCCUUCGCCUGCAAUCGCCUCAGUGCUCGCACCUACGAUCAUAUGUGAUUCCACCCCAUCCAUGAUGUCAGGGUUUCCCCCCUUGCCAAUCCCGACAAUGUGUCCAUCUUUAAUGCCAAUAUCGGCUUUCACAAUCCCUGUGUAAUCAAUAAUCGUGGCAUUCGUAAUAAUCAGGUCAAGCACACCUUCAUCCCGCGUAUAAACAGCACUUUGCCCCAUGCCAUCGCGCAG
Molecule: small RNA, 298 nt
Filed under: Halalkalibacterium halodurans C-125
Lineage: Bacteria; Bacillati; Bacillota; Bacilli; Caryophanales; Bacillaceae
Description: Bacillus halodurans C-125 5' ureB small RNA
Rfam family: 5' ureB small RNA
Source: Rfam by way of RNAcentral